Molecule: ribosomal RNA, 484 nt
Filed under: uncultured bacterium
Lineage: Bacteria
Description: partial 16S ribosomal RNA
Rfam family: Bacterial small subunit ribosomal RNA
Source: RNAcentral
AUUGAACGCUGGCGGCAGGCCUAACACAUGCAAGUCGAGCGGAUGAAGGGAGCUUGCUCCUGGAUUCAGCGGCGGACGGGUGAGUAAUGCCUAGGAAUCUGCCUGGUAGUGGGGGAUAACGUCCGGAAACGGGCGCUAAUACCGCAUACGUCCUGAGGGAGAAAGUGGGGGAUCUUCGGACCUCACGCUAUCAGAUGAGCCUAGGUCGGAUUAGCUAGUUGGUGGGGUAAAGGCCUACCAAGGCGACGAUCCGUAACUGGUCUGAGAGGAUGAUCAGUCACACUGGAACUGAGACACGGUCCAGACUCCUACGGGAGGCAGCAGUGGGGAAUAUUGGACAAAGGGCGAAAGCCUGAUCCAGCCAUGCCGCGUGUGUGAAGAAGGUCUUCGGAUUGUAAAGCACUUUAAGUUGGGAGGAAGGGCAGUAAGUUCAUACCUUGCUGUUUUGACGUUACCAACAGAAUAAGCACCGGCUAACUUCGUG